GCUCCAUCCGCAACUUCGCCAGCAAGGGUUAAAAAUGGUGGCGAGGCUUAGCCACAUGACGAGAUCAGAUGGAAGGGAAGAGCCCCUUCCCACGACGACCUCUAAGCCAAAUAGGCCAAACGACGAGAAAGGGUCAACGAACGACAAUAUUGGUGCUACGCGCGGACAAGGUAAUACAAAGUGCUUUUUUCUCAUUUCCGAUAUAUGUACUAC
Molecule: long non-coding RNA, 213 nt
Filed under: Elaeis guineensis (African oil palm)
Lineage: Eukaryota; Viridiplantae; Streptophyta; Magnoliopsida; Arecales; Arecaceae
Description: long non-coding RNA (EGUI_LNC069569)
Source: RNAcentral